GAAAUCACCCGUCUUCUGCGUCGCUCACGCUGGGAGCUGUAGACUGGAGCUGUAGACAGGAGCUGUUCCUAUUCGGGCAUCUUGGCUCCUCCUUGAGUGGAGUAAAUGUCCCUCUGUGGUGGGCACAGCAAAUGGCAGCCUUGUCUUUGGUCCCUGCCCCCGCCCCCAAGCCCCCGUUGCCUGCCCAGGUCUUCACAGAAGAUGGAAGUACUGGAUUGCCAACCUACUCAUUUUUCUCUAGUGAAAGAACCAGGAACUCAGUGCCUAAGAAGCAAAAUCUUCUUGUAGAAAUGGCAGUGGGUGGCCACUGUCCACCAUGAAAGAACCUUACUCUGCUGGAAAGGCUCAACCCAUUCUAGUUAUGUCAAACUCAACCUGCUCUUCCUCCUCCUCUAGCAAGCUUGAAGGUGAGCACCUCGAAGGGCUUCUUUUUAUGUUGAAAGGCACGGGUUUGCAUGGCGGUUCAUCAGAGGUCAAUACCCCAGUUUGAGAAAGUCCACUGUGGGGAGGAAAGAGAGACUUAAACAAGCCCUGGAAAAACAAAGAAUGGAACACCCCUCCGCUGACUUCAACCAACUGCCUGCUGAUGCGGCCUGACUCCCAGCCCUUUUUGCAGUUUUGAAGUGACAAACUGACUAGGCUACAAAGUAUUCAACCAUGGGCUGGUUCUGGCUGGUUCACCGAGGCUGUGUACAAAGUGUCUUCAUGUCCUGUGUUUCACCUUUUAACAUACAGAACCUAAUUUUACUGCAUUUUAAUGUUAAUUCUCCACUCGAAGGUGAACAUGGGAUGUAUGUAACACAUAUGUUUGCUUAUCAAGCACACAUAUGACCCCCUUUCAUGAAUAUUCAUAGUUCCCCCUGUGACCUGUUGAAUAUGUCUGUUUAGCCAACCUGUUUGGCAUAAAACUCCUAUCCCACCCUAUCUCCCUCAAAGUACCUGUUUGUGGUCUCAGCUGGAGGUGCCACUUCCCAGCCUGCAGUUUGCAACCCUUCUCAAGAAAUAAAGUCUUCCUUUCCAAGUU
Molecule: long non-coding RNA, 1024 nt
Filed under: Homo sapiens (human)
Lineage: Eukaryota; Metazoa; Chordata; Mammalia; Primates; Hominidae
Description: HSALNT0397535
Source: RNAcentral